RNAcentral lists this ribosomal RNA (497 nucleotides) under uncultured bacterium. RNAcentral describes it as "partial 16S ribosomal RNA". It matches the Rfam family "Bacterial small subunit ribosomal RNA", at positions 28 to 507 of the family's 1533-position model. The record is from RNAcentral.
GAUGAACGCUGGCGGCGUGCCUAAUACAUGCCAGUCGAGCGAACAGACGAGGAGCUUGCUCCUCUGACGUUAGCGGCGGACGGGUGAGUAACACGUGGAUAACCUACCUAUAAGACUGGGAUAACCUCGGGAAACCGGAGCUAAUACCGGAUAAUAUAUUGAACCGCAUGGUUCAAUAGUGAAAGACGGUUUUGCUGUCACUUAUAGGUGGAUCCGCGCCGCAUUAGCUAGUUGGUAAGGUAACGGCUUACCAAGGCAACGAUGCGUAGCCGACCUGAGAGGGUGAUCGGCCACACUGGAACUGAGACACGGUCCAGACUCCUACGGGAGGCAGCAGUAGGGAAUCUUCCGCAAUGGGCGAAAGCCUGACGGAGCAACGCCGCGUGAGUGAUGAAGGUCUUCGGAUCGUAAAACUCUGUUAUUAGGGAAGAACAAAUGUGUAAGUAACUAUGCACGUCUUGACGGUACCUAAUCAGAAAGCCACGGCUAACUACGUG